GUGGGGAAUCUUGCGCAAUGGGCGAAAGCCUGACGCAGCCAUGCCGCGUGAAUGAUGAAGGUCUUAGGAUUGUAAAAUUCUUUCACCGGGGACGAUAAUGACGGUACCCGGAGAAGAAGCUCCGGCUAACUUCGUGCCAGCAGCCGCGGUAAUACGAAGGGGGCUAGCGUUGCUCGGAAUUACUGGGCGUAAAGGGCGCGUAGGCGGACAGCUUAGUCAGAGGUGAAAGCCCAGGGCUCAACCUUGGAAUUGCCUUUGAUACUGACUGUCUUGAGUUUGGGAGAGGUGAGUGGAACUCCGAGUGUAGAGGUGAAAUUCGUAGAUAUUCGGAAGAACACCAGUGGCGAAGGCGACUCACUGGCCCAAUACUGACGCUGAGGCGCGAAAGCGUGGGGAGCAAACAGGAUUAGAAACCCUGGUAGUCC
Molecule: ribosomal RNA, 425 nt
Filed under: uncultured bacterium
Lineage: Bacteria
Description: partial 16S ribosomal RNA
Rfam family: Bacterial small subunit ribosomal RNA
Source: RNAcentral